GAUGGUCCCGCGUCCCAUUAGCUUGUUGGUGGGGUAAUGGCCUACCAAGGCGACGAUGGGUAGCCGGCCUGAGAGGGUGCCCGGCCACACUGGGACUGAGAUACGGCCCAGACUCCUACGGGAGGCAGCAGUCGAGAAGCUUCGGCAAUGGGCGAAAGCCUGACCGAGCGACGCCGCGUGAGCGAUGAAGGUCCUAUGGAUUGUAAAGCUCUGUCAGAUUGGGAAGAAAACUUCGCGAUUAAUACCCGCGAAGCUUGACGGUACCAUCAGAGGAAGCACCGGCUAACUCCGUGCCAGCAGCCGCGGUAAUACGGAGGGUGCGAGCGUUGUUCGGAUUCACUGGGUAUAAAGGGUGCGUAGGCGGCCUCGUAAGUCAGGGGUGAAAUAUGACGGCUCAACCGUCAAACUGCCCCUGAAACUGCAAGGCUUGAGUCCGGGAGAGGAAGGUGGAAUUCCUGGUGUAGCGGUGAAAUGCGUAAAUAUCAGGAGGAACACCGGUGGCGAAGGCGGCCUUCUGGUCCGGUACUGACGCUGAGGCACGAAAGCUAGGGGAGCGAACAGGAUUAGAUACCCUGGUAGUCCUAGCCGUAAACGAUGGGCACUAGGUGUCGGAGGAGUCUACCCCUUCGGUGCCGCAGCUAAUGCAUUAAGUGCCCCACCUGGGGAGUACGAUCGCAAGGUUGAAACUCAAAGGAAUUGACGGGGGCCCGCACAAGCGGUGGAGCAUGUGGUUUAAUUCGAUGCAACGCGAAGAACCUUACCUGGGCUUGACAUGCAGGGGACAGGUGCAGAAAUGUACCCUUCUUCGGACCCCUGUGCAGGUGCUGCAUGGCUGUCGUCAGCUCGUGUCGUGAAAUGUUGGGUUAAGUCCCGCAACGAGCGCAACCCCUGUCUUCAGUUGCCAUCAGUUCGGCUGGGGACUCUGGAGAGACUAAAAGGUGACAAACCGGAGGAAGGUGGGGACGACGUCAAGUCAUCAUGGCCCUUACGCCCAGGGCUACACACGUGCUACAAUGGUCGGUACAAUGGGCAGCAAUACCGUGAGGUGGAGCGAAUCCCAAAAAGCCGGCCUCAGUUCGGAUUGGAGUCUGCAACUCGACCCCAUGAAGUCGGAAUCGCUAGUAAUCGCGUAUCAGCAUGACGCGGUGAAUACGUUCCCGGGCCUUGACACACCGCCCGUCAAGUCAACCGAGUUGGCUGCACCCCAAGUCGCUG
RNAcentral lists this ribosomal RNA (1215 nucleotides) under uncultured organism. RNAcentral's name for it is "bacterial SSU rRNA". It matches the Rfam family "Bacterial small subunit ribosomal RNA", at positions 224 to 1432 of the family's 1533-position model. The record is from RNAcentral.